Molecule: long non-coding RNA, 434 nt
Filed under: Mustela putorius furo (domestic ferret)
Lineage: Eukaryota; Metazoa; Chordata; Mammalia; Carnivora; Mustelidae
Description: lncRNA (ENSMPUG00000026330.1)
Source: RNAcentral
ACUGAGGGGUGUUUUUAUCCUGCCAAUAGGCGCUGCCAUCCUGGGUGAGCUGGGACUGGGACUCCAACUGGAAAGGAAGAAGCUAGCAGGGAGAGAACAAAUCCCGACAGCCCCCGACUCCGAGGUCUUGCUACCUGCAUUCUGCAGCCCAUCUGUUACCUGCCCUCAGGACCAGCCCCAGGGGAACGCUUGCUGCUUUAUCUUGGGCUUCCAUGGACCAUCAGCAGUUCGUGAGAGUUGCGAUUUCUCCAUAUCCCCACCGACGCUUGUAACUACUUGUCUUCUUGAUUAUAACCAUCCUGGUGGGUACAAAGGGAUAGCUCAUUGUGGUUUUAAUUUGCAUUUCCUUAAUGGAAGGUAGGUAUUUGCCCUGUACUGAAUUGUGUCUCCCCAAAGAUUCAGACGUUGAAGCUGUUGGUUCAAAUGUUGUGAAC